GAUGAACGCUGGCGGCGUGCCUAAUACAUGCAAGUCGAGCGAACGGACGAGAAGCUUGCUUCUCUGAUGUUAGCGGCGGACGGGUGAGUAACACGUGGAUAACCUACCUAUAAGACUGGGAUAACUUCGGGAAACCGGAGCUAAUACCGGAUAAUAUUUUGAACCGCAUGGUUCAAAAGUGAAAGACGGUCUUGCUGUCACUUAUAGAUGGAUCCGCGCUGCAUUAGCUAGUUGGUAAGGUAACGGCUUACCAAGGCAACGAUGCAUAGCCGACCUGAGAGGGUGAUCGGCCACACUGGAACUGAGACACGGUCCAGACUCCUACGGGAGGCAGCAGUAGGGAAUCUUCCGCAAUGGGCGAAAGCCUGACGGAGCAACGCCGCGUGAGUGAUGAAGGUCUUCGGAUCGUAAAACUCUGUUAUUAGGGAAGAACAUAUGUGUAAGUAACUGUGCACAUCUUGACGGUACCUAAUCAGAAAGCCACGGCUAACUACGUGCCAGCAGCCGCGGUAAUACGUAGGUGGCAAGCGUUAUCCGGAAUUAUUGGGCGUAAAGCGCGCGUAGGCGGUUUUUUAAGUCUGAUGUGAAAGCCCACGGCUCAACCGUGGAGGGUCAUUGGAAACUGGAAAACUUGAGUGCAGAAGAGGAAAGUGGAAUUCCAUGUGUAGCGGUGAAAUGCGCAGAGAUAUGGAGGAACACCAGUGGCGAAGGCGACUUUCUGGUCUGUAACUGACGCUGAUGUGCGAAAGCGUGGGGAUCAAACAGGAUUAGAUACCCUGGUAGUCCACGCCGUAAACGAUGAGUGCUAAGUGUUAGGGGGUUUCCGCCCCUUAGUGCUGCAGCUAACGCAUUAAGCACUCCGCCUGGGGAGUACGACCGCAAGGUUGAAACUCAAAGGAAUUGACGGGGACCCGCACAAGCGGUGGAGCAUGUGGUUUAAUUCGAAGCAACGCGAAGAACCUUACCAAAUCUUGACAUCCUUUGACAACUCUAGAGAUAGAGCCUUCCCCUUCGGGGGACAAAGUGACAGGUGGUGCAUGGUUGUCGUCAGCUCGUGUCGUGAGAUGUUGGGUUAAGUCCCGCAACGAGCGCAACCCUUAAGCUUAGUUGCCAUCAUUAAGUUGGGCACUCUAAGUUGACUGCCGGUGACAAACCGGAGGAAGGUGGGGAUGACGUCAAAUCAUCAUGCCCCUUAUGAUUUGGGCUACACACGUGCUACAAUGGACAAUACAAAGGGCAGCGAAACCGCGAGGUCAAGCAAAUCCCAUAAAGCUGUUCUCAGUUCGGAUUGUAGUCUGCAACUCGACUACAUGAAGCUGGAAUCGCUAGUAAUCGUAGAUCAGCAUGCUACGGUGAAUACGUUCCCGGGUCU
Molecule: ribosomal RNA, 1372 nt
Filed under: uncultured bacterium
Lineage: Bacteria
Description: bacterial SSU rRNA
Rfam family: Bacterial small subunit ribosomal RNA
Source: RNAcentral